UGCAGCCGGGGAGUUAGCGGUGCCCUGUACCUGCAAUCCGCUAUAGCAGGGGUGAGAUCUUGCCCCGGGCAAUCUUUUGUGGAGCUGCCCUUCAUAAGUGGCGUUGACGUUUGGGUCUUACGCAACAGGACUUUACGAACCGUGUCAGGAUGGGAACAUAGCAGCACUAAGUAAACAACCCUGUGUGCCGUGAGGGCGCCUGAACCGAGUUUACUGUGGAGGUAACGUCUGUGAAAGGCUGUUCAAAGCAAGAUGCACG
This 259-nucleotide signal recognition particle RNA is filed under the name chicken gut metagenome. RNAcentral's name for it is "Bacterial large signal recognition particle RNA". It matches the Rfam family "Bacterial large signal recognition particle RNA". From Rfam's summary of the family: The signal recognition particle (SRP) is a universally conserved ribonucleoprotein involved in the co-translational targeting of proteins to membranes. Archaeal SRP consists of a 7S RNA and homologues of the eukaryotic SRP19 and SRP54 proteins. The record is from RNAcentral.